Molecule: ribosomal RNA, 476 nt
Filed under: Escherichia coli
Lineage: Bacteria; Pseudomonadati; Pseudomonadota; Gammaproteobacteria; Enterobacterales; Enterobacteriaceae
Description: bacterial SSU rRNA
Rfam family: Bacterial small subunit ribosomal RNA
Source: RNAcentral
UGGGCUCUUUGCUGACGAGUGGCGGACGGGUGAGUAAUGUCUGGGAAACUGCCUGAUGGAGGGGGAUAACUACUGGAAACGGUAGCUAAUACCGCAUAACGUCGCAAGACCAAAGAGGGGGACCUUCGGGCCUCUUGCCAUCGGAUGUGCCCAGAUGGGAUUAGCUUGUUGGUGGGGUAACGGCUCACCAAGGCGACGAUCCCUAGCUGGUCUGAGAGGAUGACCAGCCACACUGGAACUGAGACACGGUCCAGACUCCUACGGGAGGCAGCAGUGGGGAAUAUUGCACAAUGGGCGCAAGCCUGAUGCAGCCAUGCCGCGUGUAUGAAGAAGGCCUUCGGGUUGUAAAGUACUUUCAGCGGGGAGGAAGGGAGUAAAGUUAAUACCUUUACUCAUUGACGUUACCCGCAGAAGAAGCACCGGCUAACUCCGUGCCAGCAGCCGCGGUAAUACGGAGGGUGCAAGCGUUAAUCGGA